UUCCGGUUGAUCCUGCCGGAGGUUACUGCUAUCGAGGUUCGACUAAGCCAUGCGAGUCGAAUGUAGCAAUACAUGGCGUACUGCUCAGUAACACGUGGACAACCUGCCCUUAGGUUGGGUAUAAACCCGGGAAACUGGGUAUAAUCCCCUAUAAGUCUCGGCUGCUGGAAUGCACCGAGAUUAAAAGCUCCGGCGCCUAAGGAUGGGUCUGCGGCCUAUCAGGUAGUAGUGGGUGUAGCGUACCUACUAGCCUACGACGGGUACGGGUUGUGAGAGCAAGAGCCCGGAGAUGGAUUCUGAGACACGAAUCCAGGCCCUACGGGGUGCAGCAGGCGCGAAAACUUUACAAUGCUGGCAACAGCGAUAAGGGAACCUCGAGUGCCAGGUUACAAAUCUGGCUGUCGAGAUGCCUAAAAAGCAUUUCAUAGCAAGGGCCGGGCAAGACCGGUGCCAGCCGCCGCGGUAACACCGGCGGCUCGAGUGGUAACCGUUAUUAUUGGGUCUAAAGGGUCUGUAGCCGGCCGGAUAAGUCUCUUGAGAAAUCUGGCAGCUUAACUGUCAGGCUUUCAGGAGAUACUGUCUGGCUCGAGGCCGGGAGAGGUGAGAGGUACUUCAGGGGUAGGGGUGAAAUCUUGUAAUCCUUGAAGGACCACCAGUGGCGAAGGCGUCUCACCAGAACGGACCUGACGGCAAGGGACGAAAGCUAGGGGCACGAACCGGAUUAGAUACCCGGGUAGUCCUAGCCGUAAGCGAUACUCGCUAGGUGUCGGCCACGGUGCGACCGUUGUCGGUGCCGUAGGGAAGCCGUGAAGCGAGCCACCUGGGAAGUACGGCCGCAAGGCUGAAACUUAAAGGAAUUGGCGGGGGAGC
Molecule: ribosomal RNA, 870 nt
Filed under: bacterium enrichment culture clone F8 1.705-A27
Lineage: Bacteria
Description: bacterial SSU rRNA
Rfam family: Archaeal small subunit ribosomal RNA
Source: RNAcentral